This 497-nucleotide ribosomal RNA is filed under the name uncultured bacterium. Its description in RNAcentral is "partial 16S ribosomal RNA". It matches the Rfam family "Bacterial small subunit ribosomal RNA", at positions 28 to 507 of the family's 1533-position model. The record is from RNAcentral.
GAUGAACGCUGGCGGCGUGCCUAAUACAUGCAAGUCGAGCGAACGGACGAUAAUCUUUCUUCUCUGCUGUUAGCGGCGGACGGGUGAGUAACACGUGGAUAACCUACCUAUAAGACUGGGAUAACUUCGGGAAACCGUAGCUAAUACCGGAUAAUAUUUUGAACCGCAUGGUUCAAAAGUGAUAGACGGUCUUGCCGUCACUUAUAGAUGGAGCCGCGCUGCAUUAGCUAGUUGGUAAGGUAACGGCUUACCAAGGCAACGAUGCAUAGCCGAGCUGAGAGGGUGAUCGGCCACACUGGAACUGAGACACGGUCCAGACUCCUACGGGAGGCAGCAGUAGGGAAUCUUCCGCAAUGGGCGCAAGCCUGAUCCAGCAACGCCGCGUGAGUGAUGAAGGUCUUCGGAUCGUAAAACUCUGUUAUUAGGGAAGAACAUCUGUGUAAGUAACUGUGCACAUCUUGACGGUACCUAAUCAGAAAGCCACGGCUAACUACGUG